CAAUGGCGGCGGCCGCCUCGGGCUGUCCAUUCAAUUCCUUCCGCUACAACACUUCGCUGUGCGCCUGCGAUCCCGGAUACCUCUACAACGCCACCACCAAAGCCUGCGAGCUCUUCCGCGUUUCCGCCGCCGAGUGGGUGGUGGGUUCCGGGGUUGACUACUCCAUCUCGAUCAUCCCCGAGAGCAUAUUCUCCUUCAACUCCAUCAGGAAGUUCACGCAGUCGCAGGCCAUCUUCCUCGAGGCCACCCUCGUCAUGCUCCUUUCCUGGCUUGUUUUCUGCUUCUUCGUCCGCUUCGGGAGGCUCCGCGAUGGCCGCAGCGUCUGGUUCCGCAUCCGCUGGUGGAUUAGCCGCCUGGACAUCAGUUUCGCCACUCGUCAUUGGCUGGAUGAUCAGAAAGUUGUUGUGAAGCGGAAAACAGAACUUGGUGGAACUUUCUCAGUCGCAAGUUGGAUUCUUUUUAUUGGUUUAUUUUCUGCGUUGCUCUAUCAAAUUAUAUCUAGGAGAAAUGUUGAGGUUCAUAAUGUGAGAACCACAAAUGCUCCUGAUUUAGCGUCCUUCAUGAAUGACAUGGAAUUCAAUAUCACUACCAUUUCUAAUAUGAGUUGUUCCCAUUUACAAGGCAUUGGAACUGUGGCCAUUGGGAAUCCAGGCUUCAUUGACUAUAGGGUUGCUGCUCUAUCAACUUUUGCUAACUACUCUUGCCAGAAUACCAGUAAGGGCCCAACUGUAAGUCUUAAGUGCAGCAAUUGUCAGCGUAUUCCAGACAGUGCAUAUAUAUCAUGGCAGUUUGUUGAUCUUCCAAGUGACCCUGCAACUGCUGUGGGAUUUCAGUUCAACAUCACCGCCAAGAACCGUGCCAGUAGAAAACAUUUGAGUUUUGUCAGUGGGAUACUGAAUAAUGGAAGCAACAGUGAAAAUGAACCAAUUACUUAUAGAGGCCCUGCUCCAAAUAUAUUGAAAUUUAAUUUAUUUCCUCGAGUUUACCGCAACUUCCAUGACCUCAAGCUCAUUCAACCACUGUUUCAUGAAUUUGUCCCGGGUUCAUAUUACAGUGACAUAAAUCAUCUCCGAUCUUCACUUCAGAGCUCUGAUAAUGGACGAAUCAAUAUCACAUUUUGUGUCAAUUUUCUUUCAGCCUACAUUGUAGAGAUUGAUAAUCAAAACAUUUUGGGGCCUGUGGGCUUUCUUGCUGAUCUUGGAGGCCUUUAUUGCAUUAGUAUUGGGAUUUUCUUCUACCUCUUGGUUCAAUGUGAAUACAGAUUCAAGAAGUUCCGUUAUGAAGAUAGUGUUAUGCGAAGGAUCAGAAACCAGCAAAAAGCUCAAGUCCACUGGGAUAAAUUGAGAAAAUACGUGAUGUACACUUAUGGUGCCAAAUUGGAUGAUAAUAGCAAGAGUUUCAGGAAAGAGACGUGUUGCUCUAGUCUCAUGAUAGAGUCAUUGCACAGAAAUGGAAUGGCACAUAAGCAAAGGAAGCUAAGCAGAAUGGAUUCUAUCAGUUUCAACAGAAAAGCCAAUUUGCCUAGUGAGAAGAAGUCUGCUCCAGAGCAGGUCAAUACCCAAUCUUGCGUACUUAAAUCUAUAUCAAACAGGGAAGGAAUGGUAUCAUAUCCCAGGGGUGAACUGGGUAAGGAUUUCGCUGUAAAAAAUGAAACACGUGAACAUCUUGUGGAUAUGCAAGAGGGAGGUGUGCUUAAGCCUCAAACAUUUCCUAUUCCUGACAAUUGUCUGCUUCCUCUUCCACCUUCAUUAGAAUUUAAGGCUGGUUCUGAAUUCAAUCUCUCUGAUGUCAAAAAGAAUCUCCAAAGUCUUUACGACUAUAAUGUCAUGCUGAGGGAGAGGUUAGUGGCUGCUGAAUCUAUGCUGCAAUCUUUGACACACAAGUCUUCAACUUCUGGAGACUCAAGUAGCAGCAUUGCAAAGUAGUCAAAUGACUGAAACAAUCUGCAAACCUCAAGAUGCUCAAAUUUCUGCCAGCAUUUCAAGAAUGUGUUGCAAUAUGUUUUGGGCAUGCCAACCUGGGAAGGAGUAUUACAGAAGUUGUUGAAGGAUACCGCAUCAUUAUUGUAAGAACUGCUUAUUUCGGUGGCUAAUAGUAUGUGGUAAAAGGGAGAAGCUAUAUGUCGAAAGGGGCGAUCAACUUUCUCAUGAAUCAUGUCGAGGUCAUCUGGCAUGGAAAGCACUUCUGUUGAUUGCACUUGUCUUGUAGCUUUUGUGCAUGCUGUCCGCGAUGAUACUGGGAAAGAUUAUCGAGCACUCUUGCAAGGGCAGGGCUUUGUCUUUUGGUAAAUGAAUCCUCUAAUCCGGAUCUUUUGAUCAGGCAAAAUAUUUUGAUCGUGGAGCACUACUCUUAGGUAACAAAGGAGUUGGCAGGCUGCUUAUUACCUUAUGUCCAACAGGGCACAUGGUACACUUUGGUUGACGAGACACAUGCCACAUCAUGAUAAGGACAUGGGUCACAUUGGGAUAGAUCCUUUCUCAUAAACGAUUUUGAGGACAAAUUUAUAAAUGAGUUAAAUUUGGGAUGCCCCUUAUCAGUCCUUAUAAUUGUUAUUGGGUUAUUUGGGCUCUAGGCAAUAAAAGUAGCACUCACAAGUGCAUAUUUUGUUGUUCUAACUCUACCAGGUAAAAA
Diospyros lotus (date-plum) is the source of this 2631-nucleotide RNA transcript. RefSeq lists it as uncharacterized. The record is from RefSeq and is a predicted model, not a curated record. The transcript has 11 exons. Lineage: Eukaryota; Viridiplantae; Streptophyta; Magnoliopsida; Ericales; Ebenaceae.